This 739-nucleotide long non-coding RNA is filed under the name Lepidothrix coronata (blue-crowned manakin). RNAcentral's name for it is "lncRNA (ENSLCOG00000014819.1)". The record is from RNAcentral. Lineage: Eukaryota; Metazoa; Chordata; Aves; Passeriformes; Pipridae.
CUCAAAAGCGGAACUGCUCUAACUUCACAUGCCAAAGUAGAACCUACUUCUCCUGCCUCUGCCUUGCACUCAGCAUCCAGCCUUGCCCAUGGUGCAGUACAGCAGAUAUUGCUGUGGGAGAGCCUGGCUGGUGAGACAGAGUUCCUUCCUGCUCACCUCCUUGAGCAUCGAGCUGUGUCAGCUGGGAUGACUGGAGAAGCCCAUCUCUUUCCCUGUCCUCUGAGACCAGGAAAUUGAAAGUAAGGAAAUCUCAUCAGGAACAACACCCACAUGCAGGUACCAAGCCCCUGCUGCACCUGAAUUCAAUUGAUGCAAAGAAGCUGAAUUUAAAAUAUGCUCCAGAACAAAGCAAGGCCAGCUGGAGGAUUUCCUGCAGGAGAAAGGAAAAGCCUGGGGAGGCAGUGGGCCGGAAUGCUGAGCUGUGACACAUUCCUGCUGGCUACAGUCUCAUUCUGUUCCUCCCCUUACCAAGGCGGGCAAGCCCCGGGUGUUCGCAGCGCUGCGGUGUGACAGCGGCAGCCCGGGAAGGCGAUCCAUGCGGUGAUCCCGGCGAUCCAUGCGGGGAUUGAGUCACUCGCACAAGGUCACGCGAAUCGCUGGCGCCUCCAGGAAUAGCACCCGGAGCCUCCCGGCUCUCUCGAGCCCACCCUCGGCACUCCAGCCCGAAUUCCCCUGGUCUGAGACUUCUUCAAGCAAUGUGUCCUGCAAGGAUUAUGAACCUUUCUGCAACAAGAUCUGA